This 212-nucleotide ribosomal RNA is filed under the name uncultured Veillonellaceae bacterium. RNAcentral's name for it is "partial 16S ribosomal RNA". It matches the Rfam family "Bacterial small subunit ribosomal RNA", at positions 138 to 334 of the family's 1533-position model. Lineage: Bacteria; Bacillati; Bacillota; Negativicutes; Veillonellales; Veillonellaceae. The record is from RNAcentral.
GGGGGACAACAGUUGGAAACGACUGCUAAUACCGCAUACGAUCUAACCUCGGCAUCGAGGAUGGAUGAAAGGUGGCCUCUAUUUAUAAGCUAUCACUGAAGGAGGGGAUUGCGUCUGAUUAGCUAGUUGGAGGGGUAACGGCCCACCAAGGCGAUGAUCAGUAGCCGGUCUGAGAGGGUGAACGGCCACAUUGGAACUGAGAAACGGUCCAA